RNAcentral lists this unclassified non-coding RNA (954 nucleotides) under Hevea brasiliensis (rubber tree). The record is from RNAcentral. Lineage: Eukaryota; Viridiplantae; Streptophyta; Magnoliopsida; Malpighiales; Euphorbiaceae.
CAGCAAGAGUUGAGGUAGUACAUUCACUUCCUUGAGUCUAAUGUCCCAUAGCAUAAGAUGAUAUAGCUGGAGUACAUUCACCUCAUGCUCAGCAGUAUUACUGCAGUAGACCAUUUCUUUAGAUUAAUUGCCAAGAGAAAACUCUAACUAAUGUCUCCAGAAUGACUUGUUUCACCAUUGUCUCAAGUCUUGUCAAGUGCUGUGAGCUCCCGGUAGUCACAGAAGCUGAUUCAAUGAUUUGCUUAGCGCCCCCUCUCGAAGAUGACUCUUUGGAGACCUAGGGAGAAGGCCGAGUGCAAUGCCUCGGGCAAAGGCAGAAGAGCUUCCGAGAUAUGAGGGGAAGAAAUGUGCUGAAUUUGACGAGCAGCUCAACCUACGAGCUUCCCUGUAUGAUCCCUGCCCACCACCCCUAUAGCACCUUUCACAUGAAUGCAAAAAGUAUCCCGAGGUGGGAGGGUCCAAGUGGAGGGAUGAGCUUCAGAUUCAGACGCUGGAUUCCGUGCUUGAGCUUGCCUCCUGAGGUUGGAUGGUGUGACGUAUUCCCCUAUUGGUUUCGAGGCCCGGUUGACCAUCUCAUUGGGUGACCAGUCAUGCUCAUUAAAGGCCAUGUCGUUGCGUGCCUUUGAAAGAUACCACAUAGGAAAGGCUAGUAGCUGCGUGAACUCCUUAUUUGCUGGGCAUUAAUAUUCCUGAAAGCUUCAAUUCUGAGACAUGCUGGCUGUGUGGCUUUAAUGCACAGGAAUAAUACAUGCCUGAUGGGUUCCUCUUCUCCACACAACUUGCAAGUCACACUCAAUCAUUUCAACUACUGCAUGAUUGAUUUCCUGUUGGAAAAACUCCAUUGCCCAGACGGUUAAAUUCUGCACAAGUCCAGAGUUUAUAUAGCUUCGCCUUGCAGCAUUCAAUGUUAAGCAAGGGAACAAAAAGAAAAAUUAUGCUCAAAUAUCAAAUAAC